GGCCAGACUCCUACGGGAGGCAGCAGUGGGGAAUAUUGCACAAUGGGGGAAACCCCGAUGCAGCGACGCCGCGUGAGUGAAGAAGUAUUUCGGUAUGUAAAGCUCUAUCAGCAGGAAAGAAAAUGACGGUACCUGACUAAGAAGCCCCGGCUAACUACGUGCCAGCAGCCGCGGUAAUACGUAGGGGGCAAGCGUUAUCCGGAUUUACUGGGUGUAAAGGGAGCGUAGACGGUGAAGCAAGUCCGAAGUGAAAGGCGGGGGCUCAACCCCCGGACUGCUUUGGAAACUGGUUGACUGGAGUGCAGGAGAGGUAAGUGGAAUUCCUAGGGGAGCGGUGAAAUGCGUAGAUAUUAGGAGGAACACCAGUGGCGAAGGCGGCUUACUGGACUGUAACUGACGUUGAGGCUCGAAAGCGUGGGGAGCAAACAGGAUUAGAUACCCCAGUAC
This 447-nucleotide ribosomal RNA is filed under the name uncultured bacterium. RNAcentral describes it as "partial 16S ribosomal RNA". It matches the Rfam family "Bacterial small subunit ribosomal RNA", at positions 329 to 793 of the family's 1533-position model. The record is from RNAcentral.